Molecule: transfer RNA, 69 nt
Filed under: Rattus norvegicus (Norway rat)
Lineage: Eukaryota; Metazoa; Chordata; Mammalia; Rodentia; Muridae
Rfam family: tRNA
About the family: Transfer RNA (tRNA) molecules are approximately 80 nucleotides in length. Their secondary structure includes four short double-helical elements and three loops (D, anti-codon, and T loops).
Source: Rfam by way of RNAcentral
GGGGAUUUAGCUCAGCGGUAGAGAACUUGCCUAGCAAGCACAAGGCCCUGGGUUCGAUCCCCAGCUCCG